CUCCAAAACCCCCUUAAAUUAAACUCAGCUGCAACCUUCGUGAGUUCGUGAUGUUCGUGGCACCGGAAAAUUGGAUUAAAAUGGGUUUUAUAGUGCUGCGUUUUUGGCUCCAUAAAAUCACCCCAAAAUUAAACUCCUGUGUGUAUCUUCCUGGUUUUGUUGAUUUUGAUUAAUUUAACGAUUUUCCUAAGAUUUUGCUUCGUAUUUUGGGUUUAAUCCAUGUUCCUAAAAUGAAAAUUGGGUUAAAAAUGACAAAACAAAUUUCAGGUGGGGGUUAUAAUCGCUGGAGGUUUGAGAAUUUUGGGGAAGAAGGGUGGUAAGACUGUAAGAGGAAGAAGAGGGGAGUUGGCAUGGGGGGUUACGGAGUGGCUACUCCGGUUAGGGAAGGAGUAGGCAUAGGGGUAGGGGGCUGUUUCAGGUGGGUGUUCGGGAAGGAGGACGGGGAAUCGGGGAAGAAGGAGGCUGUUUUAUUUUUUAUUUUAUUUUAUUUUUAUAAAAAAAUUUAUUAUUAAUUUUCUUUUAUUUUAAAAUUAUUUUUAAAAAAUCCAAUUAGAAAGUGACACGUGGAAAGCCACCUUCUAAAACCAGUUACCAAUUUUACAAACCGAUCAAAGGACUGUUUUGAGAAAAUGGGGGUAAAAGGUGGGAUUAUUUCCAGAAUACGCAAAGGUGGGAUUGUUUUGAGCAGAAAUGGAAAAGGUGGGAUUAUUCGUUUCAAUUUUUCCAUAUUUAUUUUAUUAGCUUAAUUAAGGUUUUGUCUCUUUUUUAAUAAGAACGAAUGUUUUAGUCUUGAAUUUUAUUUUUCUUUUUAAUAUUAUAUUAUUUCAUAAGCUAAUUUUACGAAGAUCAGCAAUUUAUUAUUUAAAGUUUAUUUCUGAUAUGUAAAAUGUUUAAAGAUUUGCAUCAAAUUUUGUAUUUUUACCCGAGGGAAUAAAAUGACCAAAAUACCCUUAUUCAUACAAAAGGAAAAAAUCCACCUCUUCCUUGUUCUUUCUUCACGGUUAAGCAUUGGAAGUCAAAAUUUGCUUCUUUCCCAUUGGAUGUUCAAUUGUUUCACUUAUCAUCACAACAAAAGUCAGGUGAUCAGCUUAAUUUUGAUACUUAUCAAAUUAAUAUAGUAAUCUUGAUCUUUACUCUUCCUUCUCUUAUAAGUUUCUUCUACCAAGUUAUUAGCACCCAUAAGUUUGACUGCUAAAGAGAUACCACUAUUGCCGCAAUCACUGUAUCUUUUCCUUGCUCCAGGCCGUUGUUGCCAUCCUUCUUCUUACCUUCGACCAAGCUCAUGCACCGCAGCCACGCACUCUUCUUCUUCCUCCAUUCGUGUCAUAUUUGGUGAAACCGAGAAUAGUCAUUGAGACUACUCUGUACACAUGAAACCAAAAGGAAUCGAACCUCGGAGCUCAGUGAGAACGAUAGAAUAAAGGCUAAUAGGAAGGUUAUUAGGCUGUAAAUCGAGGUAACGACUAUUGCUAGUACCCGCAAUUCCCUUCGAAAUGUGUUUAUAAAAGCAUGAUGUCACUUUUGAAAGUUAUUUACAUCUCUGGAUUAAUGACUUGCGGGAUGAUGAACGUGUUUAUUAAUGUAUUUCAGUCUAAUGAUUUAUGUGAAUAAUUUUAUUAAUAUACGUUGUUUUAUUGAUCUUUGGAUCUCACGAAAGUAUGUUAUGAGUUUAUGAAUGACCUAUGUAAAAGGUACACAACAUGAUAAAUAACAGUGAAAAACCUAGUCCAUCUGGCAGUAUAUGUUUACAGGUUACUUCUCGGUCAUGCAUGUAUCCAUAGGGCAUUAGCCCAACUAUGUCGAGCAUCUGCUCUAUGUUAUGGGCACCGACCCAUCGCGGUAGACGUUCCGCCAUAUCAUACUUGCCAGCGACUAGCAUGUUAAUAUGAACGUUAUAUGUAUCAUUAUAUGAAUUUUAUUAAAUGUUUUAAGAUAUUCCAUUUCUCUGUUUUGUUAACUAAAAUGAAUUGAAAUGAUGUUACACUACUAGAGUAGUUCGUUACUGAGUCUUCGGCUCACCCGUUUUUAUGUUUUAGGUAAUGUUGGGGAUGAUGGAGACGAGUAGUAGCGAGGAUUUUACUUUCAGUUAUCACUUGAUAGUAGUUAUAGUUUUGAGUUGUUUAAUUUGAAUAGUAAGACUAAGCUACUCAGUAAAGUUUGAGAUAAGAUAGGAUUUGCUAUUAUAAAAA
Long non-coding RNA from Chenopodium quinoa (quinoa), 2189 nucleotides. RefSeq lists it as uncharacterized. The record is from RefSeq and is a predicted model, not a curated record. The transcript is spliced from 2 exons. Lineage: Eukaryota; Viridiplantae; Streptophyta; Magnoliopsida; Caryophyllales; Amaranthaceae.